RNAcentral lists this ribosomal RNA (253 nucleotides) under uncultured bacterium. RNAcentral's name for it is "partial 16S ribosomal RNA". It matches the Rfam family "Bacterial small subunit ribosomal RNA", at positions 524 to 776 of the family's 1533-position model. The record is from RNAcentral.
UACGUAGGGUGCGAGCGUUAAUCGGAAUUACUGGGCGUAAAGUGUGCGCAGGCGGCCGAGCAAGUCGAGUGUGAAAGCCCCGAGCUUAACUUGGGAACUGCGCUCGAAACUACUUGGCUAGAGUGUGGCAGAGGGAGGUGGAAUUCCACGUGUAGCGGUGAAAUGCGUAGAGAUGUGGAGGAACACCGAUGGCGAAGGCGACCUUCUGGGCCGCAACUGACGCUGAGGCACGAAAGCGUGGGGAGCAAACGGG